Molecule: long non-coding RNA, 568 nt
Organism: Hemicordylus capensis (graceful crag lizard)
Lineage: Eukaryota; Metazoa; Chordata; Lepidosauria; Squamata; Cordylidae
Exons: 3
Source: RefSeq, a predicted model, not a curated record
GCGGAGUAGCUUGGUUUAGUUGAGAGAGCAGCUGCUGCUGGGGACGUUCUCUGACUCUGCCUGCCUGCGUUUGCCCACCACACUGCCCUCUGGCUGCAUUUUAUUCUUCUGUUCUGCUUCUGCAUUAACAAACAGAUUCCUUGAAUUGCCGAUACUGCGCUUCUGUGAGGCAACUGGCACCAUGCAUUCCAGUUCAGAAAUUCUGCAAAGUCCACAAGGGUGUCUGUUUCAACAUGAAAAUCUAUGAGGGUAAUCACGUGGAGAAAUUUAUACAAGGCUGUUUGAAGGAAGAAGAUAAGAAAUGUGGAGCUAUAUGGAAGAAUCCAAAGACUCAACAUCGCUAUGAACUUAGCUGCUGUUCUGACAGAGACAAAUGCAACUGGACCUUGAUACGUCCAUGACAGCACUUUGCUCUGGAAUUGCCAUAAUUUGCUAAAUCACUCUUUAGAAUCUAGACAUCGUUAUCAUUAGAUUGUUGCACUCCAGUGCCUGCUGUCAUCUUCUGUGUUUACAGACUUAUUCGUGGGUGGUUUGUUAUUGUUUUUGCAUUAAAAUACAAUUAAAGUAC